Long non-coding RNA from Mesocricetus auratus (golden hamster), 460 nucleotides. RefSeq lists it as uncharacterized. The transcript is spliced from 3 exons. Lineage: Eukaryota; Metazoa; Chordata; Mammalia; Rodentia; Cricetidae. The record is from RefSeq and is a predicted model, not a curated record.
UGUUGGAGAUUUGUGCGUGUAUGGAUGGCAGAAGUUUUUCUGAAGGGAAGCGUUUUUCUUGGGAAGUUCUCCUAAGCCGAUUUGGGGAGCAUAAAGUUUUCUUAACACAACCGACUGGUCUGUGUCAUCAACCCUCACCACAUUCUCGGAUACAGGCUGCGCAGGAGGUGCGGCAAUUGGAGGUCCCACCGAGAUCAUGAAAGCGAGAUGAAAUAUGAGCACUCUGCCUCCUGACUGCUCCCAGGUCAGCCUCACUAAUUCCUGCUGAAGUGACUAAGGAUAUGAAAGCACUGCCUACUGGACUCAAGAAAAUGCUCCCAAGAGUGAGAAGAUCCAGAUGAUCUCCAUGCUGUUGGGGAACAUGUACAUUUAAAAACAGAGAACAACUGCAGCUGUUCUACCUCAGGGUGGUUGUAGUCAAUAAAGAGAUACACACAAAUUCUCUAGCUUUCAACUGUCA